GAUGAACGCUGGCGGCGUGCCUAAUACAUGCAAGUCGAGCGAACGCACGAGAAGCUUUCUCCUCUGAUUUUGUCGGCGGUCGGGAGCGUAACUCGUGUUUAACCUACCUAUCAGACUGGGGUAACCUCGCGAGACCGGAUCUACUACCCGAUGAUAUUUUGCACUUCAUUGUUCACACGUUAAAUACGCUCUUUCUGUCGCUAAUAGAUUGACCCGCGCUGCAUUAGCUAGUUGGUAAGGUAACGGCUUAACAAGGCAACGAUGCAUAGCCGACCUGAGAGGGAGAUCGGCCACACUGGAACUGAGACAGGGCAGAGACACCUACAGGAGGAAGCAGUAGGGAAUCUUACGCGAUGGAGGAGAGCGUGACGGAGCAACGCCGCGGGAGUGAUGAAGGUGUUCGGAUCGGAAAACUCUGUUAUUAGGGAAGAAGAUAUGUGCAAGUAACUGUGAAGAUAAUGACGGUACCGAAACAGAAAGCGACGGCUAACUACGUG
RNAcentral lists this ribosomal RNA (497 nucleotides) under uncultured bacterium. RNAcentral describes it as "partial 16S ribosomal RNA". It matches the Rfam family "Bacterial small subunit ribosomal RNA", at positions 28 to 507 of the family's 1533-position model. The record is from RNAcentral.